This 1295-nucleotide long non-coding RNA is filed under the name Felis catus (domestic cat). RNAcentral's name for it is "lncRNA (ENSFCAG00000047016.1)". Lineage: Eukaryota; Metazoa; Chordata; Mammalia; Carnivora; Felidae. The record is from RNAcentral.
AGCGUUCUCAGAACUGCUUGGUGACGUCAGCUUGAAUUGUUGCCCAGGCUGUAUGGACACUCAGGACACCUGGAGACCCCUGGAUGUUUGCAUGGAACCUAGGCUGCGGUGCUCUGCCUGGCUCUACGGCAACACUCCCGACAUUCCAACCUGCGUGUCUUCUGCGGGCCACUGUGGUCAACACUACUUUCUGUCACAUUUCGCAGCCGCGAAAGAGGUUGAGCGGAGCAGACAGACUGGCAGCCAGCCUUCCACCCAGGGAAUUCCGUAUCUUCCUUUAGCGUGUCUUGGCUAAAACACGUGAUGAGAGUUGUUGGCUCUUGUGGUUGAUACGCUAUGAGAAAGUAAUUCUGCAUUACUCGGAAUUUUAAUGGACACGUAUCUAUGUUUUCGAUAUUAAAUAAUGCUGAUGUUAUUUUCAUGAAUCAGUGCUCCCCAAGGUAGUGUUUAAAUAGGUUCGUGCGGAAUCAGAUCCUGAGACAAGGGCUUGAGUACAAAUGGCUUAUGUGGCAGUUGGGUGUCCCCGGAAGCACAAGUAAGGGAAGAUGGAGAUGGGAGGAAGGGGUGGUGGUCCAAGGAGCGCUAAAUGAUCAGGUGACCACUGUGGGCAGCUGGAACCCAGUCCUACUGGGGGCAUCUGGGAAACAGUAUGCACCAGGAUAUCCCACCCAGGAGCAGAGAAGUAAGGGUCCUAGCCCUCCAACUCCCAUCUGUCAUUGCUGAGGGCUGCUCCUGGAGGCGGAAAGCCCCCACACUCUGGCGCAUCCUGAGUAGGUCAAGAGAGAGCUCGUAGGUGGAGAAUCACCGGUGCUCACUGUCGGACACUGUUGACGUGUGCAGGCCAAGAAGUUAUGAGUGGGGAGCCCAGGCUGUCUGCUAGAGUUGCUCACAUCCCGCUGUUCAUGCCAUCCCAGCCCUGCCCUCUCUAGGAAGUCAUGAUCACGAUUUAAAAAAAAAAAAAAAAGGACUGACAAGAGGAUUGGCUAGAGAGACUCCAAUCACCUCUGCUGUGCUUGGUCCCGAUUCAGCAUCUCCUUCCGGUGGCUUUUAUUGCAGAUGGAAGGAAGCUCCUCAGCCAGCCCUUCAGUCCCCGGCUUCCAGGAUCCUCGUAAAGCCUCGGUUGCUGCACUUGCCCGAUCAUGACUGCCGCCAGGCAUAAGGGCACCAAGAGGUGGCCCAGUGAAUCCACGCGGUCCCAACCAGUUCUUCCUUCCCUCCGUUUGCUCAUGACAGUCAUGAUCAGUUACCCCUGCCAGUGUAGUAAAUCCUGUCUGUCUGACGACCCACUGAACUGA